RNAcentral lists this ribosomal RNA (253 nucleotides) under uncultured bacterium. RNAcentral's name for it is "partial 16S ribosomal RNA". It matches the Rfam family "Bacterial small subunit ribosomal RNA", at positions 524 to 776 of the family's 1533-position model. The record is from RNAcentral.
UACGUAGGGUGCGAGCGUUAAUCGGAAUUACUGGGCGUAACGCGUGCGCAGGCGGUUUUAUAAGACAGGUGUGAAAUCCCCGGGCUCACCCUGGGAAUGGCAUUUGUGACUGUAGGACUAGAGUACGGUAGAGGGGGAUGGAGUUCCGCGUGUAGCAGUGAAAUGCGUAGAUAUGCGGAGGAACACCGAGGGCGAAGGCAAUCCCCUGGACCUGUACUGACGCUCAUGCGCGAAAGCGUGGGGAACAAACAGG